AGGUAAAAAGAGAAAACUUUAAGAUCUAAUCCAGAGUACCACGAGACACGUGAAACCUUGUGGGAAGCAGGGAGGACCACCUCCCAAGGCUAAAUACUACCUAGUGACCGAUAGUGAAGCAGUACCGGGAGGGAAAGGUGAAAAGAACCCCGGAAGGGGAGUGAAAUAGAACCUGAAACCGUGUGCCUACAACCGAUCGGAGCACGUUAAAGUGUGACGAUGUGCUUUUUGUAGAACGAGCCAGCGAGUUAC
This 252-nucleotide ribosomal RNA is filed under the name Clostridium botulinum. Its description in RNAcentral is "partial 23S ribosomal RNA". It matches the Rfam family "Bacterial large subunit ribosomal RNA", at positions 377 to 631 of the family's 2925-position model. Lineage: Bacteria; Bacillati; Bacillota; Clostridia; Eubacteriales; Clostridiaceae. The record is from RNAcentral.